RNAcentral lists this ribosomal RNA (433 nucleotides) under uncultured bacterium. RNAcentral's name for it is "bacterial SSU rRNA". It matches the Rfam family "Bacterial small subunit ribosomal RNA", at positions 957 to 1391 of the family's 1533-position model. The record is from RNAcentral.
GAACGCGAAGAACCUUACCAGGUCUUGACAUCCCUCUGACCACUCUAGAGAUAGAGCUUUCCUUCGGGACAGAGGUGACAGGUGGUGCAUGGUUGUCGUCAGCUCGUGUCGUGAGAUGUUGGGUUAAGUCCCGCAACGAGCGCAACCCCUAUUGUUAGUUGCCAUCAUUCAGUUGGGCACUCUAGCGAGACUGCCGGUAAUAAACCGGAGGAAGGUGGGGAUGACGUCAAAUCAUCAUGCCCCUUAUGACCUGGGCUACACACGUGCUACAAUGGCUGGUACAACGAGUCGCAAGCCGGUGACGGCAAGCUAAUCUCUUAAAGCCAGUCUCAGUUCGGAUUGUAGGCUGCAACUCGCCUACAUGAAGUCGGAAUCGCUAGUAAUCGCGGAUCAGCACGCCGCGGUGAAUACGUUCCCGGGUCUUGUACACACC